This 644-nucleotide long non-coding RNA is filed under the name Phasianus colchicus (ring-necked pheasant). RNAcentral's name for it is "lncRNA (ENSPCLG00000004874.1)". The record is from RNAcentral. Lineage: Eukaryota; Metazoa; Chordata; Aves; Galliformes; Phasianidae.
GGAAAUCCAUGUUUUGGCAUUCAGGAGAGAGCAGCAGACUAACCAAAAGAAAGACUUUCCAGUGGUCAAUGAGAUUAGUGGUCAAAAUGCUGUGAUUCUGUGUGUGUGAUGAGGGGCAAUCUUUUCAUUUCUCUAUAGCUUAGAUCUCUAUCACUAGGGAGCAAUUAACAUUCUCUUUGGUACUCUGAUAGAAGUGCUAUUUGCUUUUCGGCUGACAUUUUAAGGGCACUCAUACCUUCGCUUUAGAUUUGCACAUGUCUAAAGGCAGCAUCAAAUUCUCAUAUUCUCUCUUCACUUCUUGCAAGCUCCUCUGUAGAGGAGAGCUUGAAGGGAAGAAAAAGAAAAAAGUCACUAACUUGUCUCUUUUUUGCCUUUUUUGUACAGUCAUUUUCAACAAUGGGAACUUUCACAAGGAGUACACACACAAGGGAGCAAGAAGGAAGGAGAAUGCUCUCAGUAUGCCUAUUUCCAGGGGGAAAGAAAAAAACAAACGAAGCAAGUCAUUUGUAAUGUUACGUGCAGAAGAUUCUGGUGUCAUGAUCUUUCACUUUUGCCCUGCAUCUAAUACUGAGGAUCAUUCAGCCAUGAUGAAACCAGCUGGAGGAAAUUCUCUCCUGCAGGACACGAAGGCCAAUGACGGAUAG